AGAAUAGUCUCUCUUGCCAGUUU
RNAcentral lists this small nuclear RNA (23 nucleotides) under Arabidopsis thaliana (thale cress). RNAcentral describes it as "snRNA_17955". The record is from RNAcentral. Lineage: Eukaryota; Viridiplantae; Streptophyta; Magnoliopsida; Brassicales; Brassicaceae.